AUACGAAGGGUGCAAGCGUUAAUCGGAAUUACUGGGCGUAAAGCGCGCGUAGGUGGUUCGUUAAGUUGGAUGUGAAAGCCCCGGGCUCAACCUGGGAACUGCAUCCAAAACUGGCGAGCUAGAGUAUAGCAGAGGGUGGUGGAAUUUCCUGUGUAGCGGUGAAAUGCGUAGAUAUAGGAAGGAACACCAGUGGCGAAGGCGGCCCCUUGGGCUAAUACUGACACUGGGGUCGGAAAGGUGGGGGAGCAAAAAGGAUUAGAACCCCUGGUAGUCCACGCCGUAAACGAUGUCGACUAGCCGUUGGGAUCCUUGAGAUCUUAGUGGCGCAGCUAACGCAUUAAGUCGACCGCCUGGGGAGUACGGCCGCAAGGUUAAAACUCAAAUGAAUUGACGGGG
RNAcentral lists this ribosomal RNA (396 nucleotides) under uncultured bacterium. Its description in RNAcentral is "partial 16S ribosomal RNA". It matches the Rfam family "Bacterial small subunit ribosomal RNA", at positions 523 to 918 of the family's 1533-position model. The record is from RNAcentral.